Molecule: non-coding RNA, 45 nt
Filed under: Alexandrium minutum
Lineage: Eukaryota; Dinophyceae; Gonyaulacales; Pyrocystaceae
Source: RNAcentral
UUUUUUUUUUUUUUUUUUUUUUUUUUUUUUUUUUUUUUUUUGUUU